RNAcentral lists this ribosomal RNA (575 nucleotides) under Staphylococcus aureus. Its description in RNAcentral is "bacterial SSU rRNA". It matches the Rfam family "Bacterial small subunit ribosomal RNA", at positions 242 to 809 of the family's 1533-position model. The record is from RNAcentral. Lineage: Bacteria; Bacillati; Bacillota; Bacilli; Caryophanales; Staphylococcaceae.
UAGCUAGUUGGUAAGGUAACGGCUUACCAAGGCAACGAUGCAUAGCCGACCUGAGAGGGUGAUCGGCCACACUGGAACUGAGACACGGUCCAGACUCCUACGGGAGGCAGCAGUAGGGAAUCUUCCGCAAUGGGCGAAAGCCUGACGGAGCAACGCCGCGUGAGUGAUGAAGGUCUUCGGAUCGUAAAACUCUGUUAUUAGGGAAGAACAUAUGUGUAAGUAACUGUGCACAUCUUGACGGUACCUAAUCAGAAAGCCACGGCUAACUACGUGCCAGCAGCCGCGGUAAUACGUAGGUGGCAAGCGUUAUCCGGAAUUAUUGGGCGUAAAGCGCGCGUAGGCGGUUUUUUAAGUCUGAUGUGAAAGCCCACGGCUCAACCGUGGAGGGUCAUUGGAAACUGGAAAACUUGAGUGCAGAAGAGGAAAGUGGAAUUCCAUGUGUAGCGGUGAAAUGCGCAGAGAUAUGGAGGAACACCAGUGGCGAAGGCGACUUUCUGGUCUGUAACUGACGCUGAUGUGCGAAAGCGUGGGGAUCAAACAGGAUUAGAUACCCUGGUAGUCCACGCCGUAAACGA